This is a long non-coding RNA of Mus musculus (house mouse), 1416 nucleotides long. RefSeq annotates it as predicted gene, 29992. NCBI's taxonomy places the organism in Eukaryota, Metazoa, Chordata, Mammalia, Rodentia, Muridae. The record is from RefSeq and is a predicted model, not a curated record. The transcript has 7 exons.
GGCAGAAAGAACACCUCCUUCCUGCUCCCAGGCUCAGGCCAACUUGGGGAGGGGUGGCCCUCAGACUUCAGCUGUUUGCCUGGAAUCCCAGGCACAGCUGUUGAGCCCACAGUGUGUAAUUCACCCAGGAGGCCUCCUCUCUGUGGCCUAAGUAGGAGAUGACCUCAUUAGCUUAGGAACAGCUGCCGCUGCCAGGACGACUCAUGAGGGGAACUGCCUUCUUUCCUUCGAGUCAGAGAAGUCUGUUGCGGAUCCCACACUCCUUGGCACCCAGAAAGCCACACGGAGGAAACUGGCAUGGAGUCUUUGACUGUCAGCAGAGGACAUCUGGGCUCCCUUUUCUGACUCCCUGCCAUGGCCAGGCCCUCUGUGUCUGCUUCUCUGGAGUCCUCACAAGAAAGUCCAGCGACAGACAGCUGCACUGCCUCGUGACCACAGAUCGGCCAGUGAUGGUUGGAUUCCAUGGACACACUGAUGUCUGUGCCAGGCAGAAGGCUAAGCUGGUCCUCAGCUGAUGCCCUUGAGCACAGUAAAGAAAAAUUACACGAGUAUUUUGUCAAGACAUGAAGUCACAUAACAGAAUAACCAAGUCCAAGUUGGAUUUCAUAUGUUUUGUGUGUCUAGAAGACAAAGAAGAAGGCUCACCCCAGGUCAGGUUUCAGGAUGUCAUGCUAAUUCCUUAUGGUAGCCACAGGAAACUGAAGCGUGAGAUAGUGAAUGCUCUGGAAGAUGGUCCUGGCAGAGCGGAACACCUUCUGGUGGAUUUCAGAAUGACUUUAGAGUCACAGAAAAGUUGCAGAGUUCCCAUACAUUCUUCAUCCAGAUCACCCCAGAGAUGUGAUUACCCAAACUGGAAGAGGCUAGGAAAGAGUAUCAGGUCGUCAGAAACGGGGAUGACAGUGUUGUGAAUUACCAGGAGGCACGGUGCUAGUUCCAGGGGGUGAACAAGGCAGUCACGCUCAGCUGUGACAGACACCGUUUCCUGAUGUCUGCUUUCUUUGCAGCUGUAAAUGGCAAUGGUGACUAGCUCAGACCAAGGUGACUAUGUACAAAUAAGCAGAGAACAGGAUCCUGAACCGCUGAACAAGGUUGUCCAUUCUGACAGAAGUUGGUCCAGUGGGUUUCUUCCUUGAGCACAGACAUGAUUCUGAGAAACACAGCAACAGCAACUAUGAAGUAAGGAGCAAUGAGGACACGGCCAGAGGACUCCUGAGAGGAAGCCCUGCCUUCACUGAGCUGAGCUGUUGACACAAUACUGCUGUGUUAGCCACGGGUUCCAGGACUCAGGCUAUGGGGAUGGAUAACCAGCUUCUCUCACUGAAGCCGUGGUAGCCUAGGUUUUCCUUUACUUCCUAGCACCUAGUUCAUAUAGUGAUAGGAUAUCAUAAAGAUUAAAAUGAGAGUCUUUGUCUCCCA